Molecule: microRNA precursor, 78 nt
Filed under: Tursiops truncatus (common bottlenose dolphin)
Lineage: Eukaryota; Metazoa; Chordata; Mammalia; Artiodactyla; Delphinidae
Description: miRNA (ENSTTRG00000025205.1)
Source: RNAcentral
UGGGUUGGCCAAAAAGUUCGUUCAGGUUUUUCUAUACGCUCUUACAGAAAAACCCGAACAUACUUUUUGGCGAACCCA